This 492-nucleotide ribosomal RNA is filed under the name uncultured bacterium. RNAcentral's name for it is "partial 16S ribosomal RNA". It matches the Rfam family "Bacterial small subunit ribosomal RNA", at positions 29 to 507 of the family's 1533-position model. The record is from RNAcentral.
AGUGAACGCUGGCGGUAGGCCUAACACAUGCAAGUCGAACGGCAGCACAGUAAGAGCUUGCUCUUACGGGUGGCGAGUGGCGGACGGGUGAGGAAUACAUCGGAAUCUACUUUUUCGUGGGGGAUAACGUAGGGAAACUUACGCUAAUACCGCAUACGACCUACGGGUGAAAGCAGGGGAUUUUCGGACCUUGCGCGAUUGAAUGAGCCGAUGUCGGAUUAGCUAGUUGGCGGGGUAAAGGCCCACCAAGGCGACGAUCCGUAGCUGGUCUGAGAGGAUGAUCAGCCACACUGGAAUUGAGACACGGUCCAGACUCCUACGGGAGGCAGCAGUGGGGAAUAUUGGACAAAGGGCGCAAGCCUGAUCCAGCCAUACCGCGUGGGUGAAGAAGGCCUUCGGGUUGUAAAGCCCUUUUGUUGGGAAAGAAAAGCAGCAGGUUAAUACCCCGCUGUUCUGACGGUACCCAAAGAAUAAGCACCGGCUAACUUCGUG